Molecule: ribosomal RNA, 530 nt
Filed under: uncultured bacterium
Lineage: Bacteria
Description: bacterial SSU rRNA
Rfam family: Bacterial small subunit ribosomal RNA
Source: RNAcentral
AGAGUUUGAUCAUGGCUCAGGAUGAACGCUAGCUACAGGCUUAACACAUGCAAGUCGAGGGGCAUCAGUUUGGUUUGCUUGCAAACCAAAGCUGGCGACCGGCGCACGGGUGAGUAACACGUAUCCAACCUGCCUCAUACUCGGGGAUAGCCUUUCGAAAGAAAGAUUAAUAUCCGAUAGCAUAUAUUUCCCGCAUGGGUUUUAUAUUAAAGAAAUUCGGUAUGAGAUGGGGAUGCGUUCCAUUAGUUUGUUGGCGGGGUAACGGCCCACCAAGACUACGAUGGAUAGGGGUUCUGAGAGGAAGGUCCCCCACAUUGGAACUGAGACACGGUCCAAACUCCUACGGGAGGCAGCAGUGAGGAAUAUUGGUCAAUGGACGCGAGUCUGAACCAGCCAAGUAGCGUGAAGGAUGACUGCCCUAUGGGUUGUAAACUUCUUUUAUAUGGGAAUAAAGUGGUCCACGUGUGGAUUUUUGUAUGUACCAUAUGAAUAAGGAUCGGCUAACUCCGUGCCAGCCGCCGCGGUAAUUC